UUCCGUUGUCACUUUCAACUCUUAGGGUGGGCAACAGAGCAGGAGCCAAUCAACGGGACACUAUAAACUGUCCAAUCAGGUGGGCCGUAGCAAGAGGGCUGUUUCUUGCCUCGGUUUGGAAGUCUUGCGAUCCUUGCUGACUUCCCGCUGGCUAGAUCACCUCGCUCGGUGAAUUUUGCCAGCUACGAGCAGCGUGGGACACACUCUGGAAGCCACGCAAUGGGCAAUAGAUUGGCUUCACAUGGAAUGUGACUGAAUUUCAAAAAGAAGAAACCUGGAGCAGAGACCAACAACAGAUCUUUUCAAAGAAGAUAUAAUUAAUGGAGUGUGGUGUUGCAUGGUGGUAAUCUCAGCAGUCAGUAGGAUCACCAGAGGCAGGAGGAUCACCACAUGU
Long non-coding RNA from Fukomys damarensis (Damara mole-rat), 394 nucleotides. RefSeq lists it as uncharacterized. The record is from RefSeq and is a predicted model, not a curated record. Lineage: Eukaryota; Metazoa; Chordata; Mammalia; Rodentia; Bathyergidae. The transcript is spliced from 3 exons.